CGAACGCUGGCGGCGUGCUAACACAUGCAAGUCGAACGCGAAAGGGACUUCGGUCCUGAGUAAAGUGGCGCACGGGUGAGUAACGCGUAGAUAACCUGUCUUCAUGUCUGGAAUAAUACGCCGAAAGGGGUACUAAUACCGGAUAUUCUUGCUUUUCAUAAGUUAUGCAAGCAAAGGUGGCCUCUGCAUAUGCUACUGCAUGAAGAGGGGUCUGCGUACCAUUAGCUAGUAGGUGGGGUAAUGGCCUACCUAGGCGACGAUGGUUAGCGGGUCUGAGAGGAUGAUCCGCCACACUGGCACUGGAACACGGGCCAGACUCCUACGGGAGGCAGCAGUGAGGAAUAUUGCGCAAUGGGGGAAACCCUGACGCAGCGACGCCGCGUGAGUGAGGAAAGGCCUUCGGGUCGUAAAGCUCUGUCAAGAGGAAAGAAGUGUACAAUGGCUAAUACCUGUUGUAUUUGACGGUACCUCUAAAGGAAGCACCGGCUAACUCCGUGCCAGCAGCAGC
Molecule: ribosomal RNA, 508 nt
Filed under: uncultured bacterium
Lineage: Bacteria
Description: bacterial SSU rRNA
Rfam family: Bacterial small subunit ribosomal RNA
Source: RNAcentral